GGAUAACCUACCCUUAGGACUGGGAUAACCCUGGGAAACUGGGGCUAAUACCGGAUAGGCAAUUAUUCCUGCAAUGGUUUUUUGUUUAAAUGUUUUUUCGCCUAAGGAUGGGUCUGCGGCCGAUUAGGUAGUUGGUUAGGUAAUGGCUUACCAAGCCGUUGAUCGGUACGGGUUGUGAGAGCAAGAGCCCGGAGAUGGAACCUGAGACAAGGUUCCAGGCCCUACGGGGUGCAGCAGGCGCGAAACCUCCGCAAUGUGAGAAAUCGCGACGGGGGGAUCCCAAGUGCCAUUCUUAACGGGAUGGCUUUUCAUUAGUGUAAAAAGCUUUUGGAAUAAGAGCUGGGCAAGACCGGUGCCAGCCGCCGCGAUAACACCGGCAGCUCUAGUGGUAGCAAUUUUUAUUGGGCCUAAAGCGUCCGUAGCCGGUUUAAUAAGUCUCUGGUGAAAUCCUGUAGCUUAACUGUGGGAAUUGCUGGAGAUACUAUUAGAUUUGAGACCGGGAGAGGUUAGAGGUACUCCCAGGGUAGAGGUGAAAUUCUGUAAUCCUGGGAGGACCGCCUGUUGCGAAGGCGUCUAACUGGAACGGUUCUGACGGUGAGGGACGAAAG
This 608-nucleotide ribosomal RNA is filed under the name uncultured archaeon. Its description in RNAcentral is "bacterial SSU rRNA". It matches the Rfam family "Archaeal small subunit ribosomal RNA", at positions 102 to 710 of the family's 1478-position model. The record is from RNAcentral.